CUCCGAGCUGCCGUCAUUGUGUCCAACUGUAGCUGUGCUGUCUGUGCCUCCAGGAACUACAAUACAUCUACAAACUAUAUAAUAAUACAUGUACUAUCAACAAAGGUUUUUGCGGGUCAUACCGUGUGUAACUGCUGCUGUGUCUCUGUACGGGGGUUCGGAAGUUUUCAGUGUAGGGCUGCCAGAACAACAUCGUGUCCCCCCCUACACACACACACACACACACACACACGCACACACCAGCUGUCGCCUCACUCCUGCUGCAAACAAUCACGACUCAGCCCCGGUACCGAAGAGGUCCAAAUGGCAGCUCAUGGUCGUCUCAGGUCAGGUCAGCGCUGAACGAAGAGGAGUCCAGACCCACUGAAGUUGGUUGCGGACUUGUUGUGCGUCCCCUGGUCAAUAAUUAAUCACCGGCUGGUCGGACCCUGGACGUGGCGCGCGGUCAAGUCUGUGGGUGGCGAAGUUUUUCCGAGUUGGUUACACGCGCUAUUUCGGCUCAGAGGGGGAAGACCCGCCUCAUGACUUAAUUAACGUCCCUCUGGCUGACAAUUCAGGAUAUGGAUACAGCUGUCAGACCCGGGAGCAAAACACAGAUAGGAUUAAAUCUAGACGGAAAACAUCAAUUGAUGUCUUACAGGCGCAGAUUAAAAACCCAUAUCAUACCAGAUUUUAAGAAUGAAAGGCAGUUUGCAAACUUUUUAAAAAUGUCCACACAAAUAAAUAUUGUGCAUUCUUUUCUUUUUUUUUUUUUUUUUUUUUUUUUUUAGCAAAUUGUAAUCGAAGUUUCAAAAGUACUAAAAGUACUGAAUAACCCCUUGCAGUGUUAUAAUGUAGAAUUAUUACUGAUCCUUUAAUAUGUAGAAAAAGUAAAACAUUGUGGAGAAGUAUAAAGGGUGAUACUAAAUUUAAGCCCAAGUACCUCAGAAUGGUGCUUAAGUGCACAUGUAGAGCUUGUAGAUGACCAGCCAUGUCUCCUCAAAUAUAACUAAUGUGUUUGCCUAAGAAGGGAAUUGAUUUGAGUAUUAACUGCAGGGACUUGGCAGUUAGGGAGGUGUGCAGGGAGGGCAGGGGGUUCACAGGUACUGACUGGUACUGUAUCUGGGACCCUCUUUAGCUGCACCUAAAUUUACAGCCCACAGAACAGAUGCAAACAUGAAACUCAGCACUGGUUUCUCAAAUUGCUAUGUUGCAUAAGACAUAAAUGUUAUCUUUUGCACCACGUCUGGAUUAGCCCACUUCAUUAACUGGUACACACUGUGAACAUUUUCCUGCACAAUUUCUUACCAGAGCCUCAGCUGCUGCUCUACCAAUUAAUCUGUCAAUAAACAAUUAAUCAAAUAGCUGAUCAACAGCAGAGAGGACUUGUUGAUUUUCUUUGUCUUGAGAUAGGUCUGACCCCCAGCAUUUUAAAUUCCUGCCAAAAUUAAUGAUUAUUAUUCACUUUUACUUUGAUUAUCAGUUCAUCUCCUGAUUUUCUUGAUUAACUGAUUAGGAAAGGAAAAUGAAGACACGAAAAGAAAUGAAAAAUAUUUGUAGUUUCCAAGAGUCUAAAAUGAUGUGUUGAUGUUGAUGAAUGUCUUGUUUUUUAUUCAGUUUACAGUUAAAUAAAACUGAGAAAGGAAAAAAAACUGCUGGGGCCAGAGAAUGUUUGUUGUUUUUGCUUGAGAAAUUACAAUUUGUUGAUUAUCAAAACAGAUGAAUUUUCUGUCGACUGACUAAUCAACUAAUUAUUUCAGCUCUGAUUAUGGCCUCUCACAGUGGGACUCCUCCACACUGCAAAAAAUCACAGAGGCAGGGCUUAUCAUGAUCUGUACAAGGUCUUUAUUGUAUUGUAAGCACAGCUUUGUAAAUGCGCGGAGGAAACACAACAGUGAAAACUAGAAUGUUACAAGAAGAAGAGGAAGGAAAGAAAGACACGAUGAAGAGAAGA
Molecule: long non-coding RNA, 1933 nt
Organism: Lates calcarifer (barramundi perch)
Lineage: Eukaryota; Metazoa; Chordata; Actinopteri; Centropomidae
Exons: 2
Source: RefSeq, a predicted model, not a curated record